Molecule: ribosomal RNA, 497 nt
Filed under: uncultured bacterium
Lineage: Bacteria
Description: partial 16S ribosomal RNA
Rfam family: Bacterial small subunit ribosomal RNA
Source: RNAcentral
GAUGAACGCUGGCGGCGUGCCUAAUACAUGCAAGUCGAGCGAACAGACGAGGAGCUUGCUCCUCUGACGUUAGCGGCGGACGGGUGAGUAACACGUGGAUAACCUACCUAUAAGACUGGGAUAACUUCGGGAAACCGGAGCUAAUACCGGAUAAUAUAUUGAACCGCAUGGUUCAAUAGUGAAAGACGGUUUUGCUGUCACUUAUAGAUGGUUACGCGCCGCAUUAGCUAGUUGGUAAGGUAACGGCUUACCAAGGCAACGAUGCGUAGCCGACCUGAGAGGGUGAUCGGCCACACUGGAACUGAGACACGGUCCAGACUCCUACGGGAGGCAGCAGUAGGGAAUCUUCCGCAAUGGGCGAAAGCCUGACGGAGCAACGCCGCGUGAGUGAUGAAGGUCUUCGGAUCGUAAAACUCUGUUAUUAGGGAAGAACAAAUGUGUAAGUAACUAUGCACGUCUUGACGGUACCUAAUCAGAAAGCCACGGCUAACUACGUG